GAUUGAACGCUGGCGGCAGGCCUAACACAUGCAAGUCGAGCGGUAGCACAGAGAGCUUGCUCUCGGGUGACGAGCGGCGGACGGGUGAGUAAUGUCUGGGAAACUGCCUGAUGGAGGGGGAUAACUACUGGAAACGGUAGCUAAUACCGCAUAACGUCGCAAGACCAAAGUGGGGGACCUUCGGGCCUCAUGCCAUCAGAUGUGCCCAGAUGGGAUUAGCUGGUAGGUGGGGUAACGGCUCACCUAGGCGACGAUCCCUAGCUGGUCUGAGAGGAUGACCAGCCACACUGGAACUGAGACACGGUCCAGACUCCUACGGGAGGCAGCAGUGGGGAAUAUUGCACAAUGGGCGCAAGCCUGAUGCAGCCAUGCCGCGUGUGUGAAGAAGGCCUUCGGGUUGUAAAGCACUUUCAGCGGGGAGGAAGGCGGUGAGGUUAAUAACCUCAUCGAUUGACGUUACCCGCAGAAGAAGCACCGGCUAACUCCGUGCCAGCAGCCGCGGUAAUACGGAGGGUGCAAGCGUUAAUCGGAAUUACUGGGCGUAAAGCGCACGCAGGCGGUCUGUCAAGUCGGAUGUGAAAUCCCCGGGCUCAACCUGGGAACUGCAUUCGAAACUGGCAGGCUAGAGUCUUGUAGAGGGGGGUAGAAUUCCAGGUGUAGCGGUGAAAUGCGUAGAGAUCUGGAGGAAUACCGGUGGCGAAGGCGGCCCCCUGGACAAAGACUGACGCUCAGGUGCGAAAGCGUGGGGAGCAAACAGGAUUAGAUACCCUGGUAGUCCACGCUGUAAACGAUGUCGAUUUGGAGGUUGUGCCCUUGAGGCGUGGCUUCCGGAGCUAACGCGUUAAAUCGACCGCCUGGGGAGUACGGCCGCAAGGUUAAAACUCAAAUGAAUUGACGGGGGCCCGCACAAGCGGUGGAGCAUGUGGUUUAAUUCGAUGCAACGCGAAGAACCUUACCUGGUCUUGACAUCCACAGAACUUUCCAGAGAUGGAUUGGUGCCUUCGGGAACUGUGAGACAGGUGCUGCAUGGCUGUCGUCAGCUCGUGUUGUGAAAUGUUGGGUUAAGUCCCGCAACGAGCGCAACCCUUAUCCUUUGUUGCCAGCGGUUAGGCCGGGAACUCAAAGGAGACUGCCAGUGAUAAACUGGAGGAAGGUGGGGAUGACGUCAAGUCAUCAUGGCCCUUACGACCAGGGCUACACACGUGCUACAAUGGCAUAUACAAAGAGAAGCGACCUCGCGAGAGCAAGCGGACCUCAUAAAGUAUGUCGUAGUCCGGAUUGGAGUCUGCAACUCGACUCCAUGAAGUCGGAAUCGCUAGUAAUCGUAGAUCAGAAUGCUACGGUGAAUACGUUCCCGGGCCUUGUACACACCGCCCGUCACACCAUGGGAGUGGGUUGCAAAAGAAGUAGGUAGCUUAACCUUCGGGAGGGCGCU
This 1435-nucleotide ribosomal RNA is filed under the name Klebsiella pneumoniae. RNAcentral's name for it is "bacterial SSU rRNA". It matches the Rfam family "Bacterial small subunit ribosomal RNA". The record is from RNAcentral. Lineage: Bacteria; Pseudomonadati; Pseudomonadota; Gammaproteobacteria; Enterobacterales; Enterobacteriaceae.